GAUGAACGCUGGCGGCGUGCUUAACACAUGCAAGUCGAACGGAAAGACCCUGAUUUUGUGGGGUGGUCGAGUGGGGAAGGGGGGAGUAACACGCGAGUAAACUGCCCUUGACUUUGGGAUAACUUCUGGAAACUGGGGCUAAUAUCGGAGAGGAGAUCCUGAUGCGUGGUGGGGGAUGGAAAGUUUCGGCGGUUGGGGAUGGAAUCGCGGCUUAUGCGCUUGUUGGUGGGGUAGGUGCUUACCAAGGCUUCGACGGGUAGGCGGCCUGGGAGGGUGAACGGCCACCUUGGGACUGAGAUACGGCCCAGACUCCUACGGGAGGCAGCAGUGGGGAAUAUUGCACAAUGGGCGGAAGCCUGAUGCAGCAACGCCGCGUGCGUGAUGACCGCCUUCUGGUUGUAAACCGCUUUCGCCUGUGACGAAGAGUGAGUGACGGUAAUGGGUAAAGAAGCACCGGCUAACUACGUG
This 468-nucleotide ribosomal RNA is filed under the name uncultured bacterium. Its description in RNAcentral is "partial 16S ribosomal RNA". It matches the Rfam family "Bacterial small subunit ribosomal RNA", at positions 28 to 507 of the family's 1533-position model. The record is from RNAcentral.